Molecule: ribosomal RNA, 766 nt
Filed under: Alexandrium catenella
Lineage: Eukaryota; Dinophyceae; Gonyaulacales; Pyrocystaceae
Description: LSU rRNA
Rfam family: Eukaryotic large subunit ribosomal RNA
Source: RNAcentral
UUGAAUUGUAUUGUGGAAAUGUAUUACCAACAGAGGUGCAGGUGCCAGCCUAUUGAAAUAAAGCGUCAAUGAGGGUGAGAAUCCUGUUUGUCAUGUGCAGCCCUUUGUGCACGGUGUAUAUUUGCUGAGUCACACUCCUUGGCAUUGGAAUGCAAAGUGGGUGGUAAGUUUCAUGUAAAGGUAAACAUGCAAUUGAGACUGAUAGCACACAAGUACCAUGAGGGAAAUAUGAAAAGGACUUUGAAAAGAGAAUUAAAUGAGUUUGUAUUUGCUGAACACAAAGUAAACAGACUUGAUUUGCUUGGUGGGAGUGUUGCACUUGCUUGACAAGAGCUUUGGGCUGUGGGUGUAAUGAUUCUUUCUUUGCAUGCCAGUUUCUAUUUGUACAUCUGAUUACCUUUGCACAUGAAUGAUAAGUCUCCUGUGGGGGGUGGAUUGCAUGUGCAUGUAAUGAUUUGUGUUUUGAUAAAUGUGUCUGGUGUAUGUGUGUGUGUUCCUGUGCUUGGGGAUGCUUCCUUCCUUGGACUUACAAGCCCUGACACACACAUGCUGGCAAAAUGCUUCUGCUUGACCCGUCUUGAAACACGGACCAAGGAGUCUAACAGAUGUGCAAAGUUUGAAGGUGGUAUACCUUUGUGUGCAAUGAAAGUGUCAGCUGGGAUAUGUGCACCAUCACCCAAUUACUUAGCGGACAGAGGCUUGAGUUGCAGCAUAUCUAUUAGGACCCGAAAGAUGGUGAACUAUGUCUGAACAGAAUGAAUUCAUA